RNAcentral lists this ribosomal RNA (813 nucleotides) under uncultured archaeon. RNAcentral's name for it is "bacterial SSU rRNA". It matches the Rfam family "Archaeal small subunit ribosomal RNA", at positions 68 to 878 of the family's 1478-position model. The record is from RNAcentral.
CCGCGGGAUUUGAUUAAGCCAUGNNUUAACACGUGGAUAACCUGCCCUUGGGACCGGGAUAACCCCGGGAAACUGGGGAUAAACCUGGAUAGGUGAUGCUGCCUGGAAUGGUUCUUCACCGAAACACCUUCGGGUGCCCAAGGAUGGGUCUGCGGCCGAUUAUGUUGUUGGUAGGGUAACGGCCUACCAAGCCGAUCAUCGGUACGGGUUGUGAGAGCAAGAGCCCGGACAUGGAACCUGAGACAAAGUUCCAGGCCCUACGGGGCGCNCNNCGCGCGAAACCUCCGCAAUGCACGCAAGUGCGACGGGGGAACCCCAAGUGCCACUCUUAACGGGGUGGCUUUUCAGAAGUGUAAAAAGCUUCUGGAAUAAGGGCUGGGCAAGACCGGUGCCAGCCGCCGCGGUAACACCGGCAGCUCAAGUGGUAGCCGCUUUUAUUGGGCCUAAAGCGUCCGUAGCCGGUCUGAUAAUUCUCUGGUGAAAUCCCACAGCUUAACUGUGGGAAUUGCUGGAGAUACUAUCAUGACUCGAGGUCGGGAGAGGCUGGAGGUACUCCCAGGGUAGGGGUGAAAUCCUGUAAUCCUGGGAGGACCACCUGUGGCGAAGGCGUCCAGCUGGAACGAACCUGACGGUGAGGGACGAAAGCCAGGGGCGCGAACCGGAUUAGAUACCCGGGUAGUCCUGGCCGUAAACGAUGUGGACUUGGUGUUGGGAUGGCUUCGAGCUGCCCCAGUGCCGAAGGGAAGCUGUUAAGUCCACCGCCUGGGAAGUACGGCCGCAAGGCUGAAACUUAAAGGAAUUGGCGGGGGAGCA